This 467-nucleotide long non-coding RNA is filed under the name Homo sapiens (human). RNAcentral describes it as "non-protein coding lnc-TMEM178A-1:3". Lineage: Eukaryota; Metazoa; Chordata; Mammalia; Primates; Hominidae. The record is from RNAcentral.
CUGCGGACGACGACAAGCGGCCAAUCGUCCCCGCCCCCCGCGGCCCGCCGCCGCGCCGAACCUGGUCACACCCACAAGGAGAGGAGAACCCUCGCAGCCCCUCGCUCGGGGUGAAACUCCAACAUGGCUUCCGCUUUCGCCGCUCCUCCCCCUCCCCUUACUCCGGCUCCUCCAACCUCCUCCCCUUUUCCCGACUCCCGCCCGACUGCGCAGCCGCGAUCCCGGAGGGAGCGCGCCAGGCCUGGCGCGCACCCGACCCCUUGCGCGUUCCGGCUCCGCGCGCCUGCCAGGCCGGGGCCGGCGGCGGAACAGCUUGGGACCCGAAACGCCUCGGCUUUUCUGCGGACCCGCGCCCGGCCGCUGCCGCCGGACGCUUGAAAAGGGCAGAGUCUUGCUUUGUUGUCCAGGCUGGUCUUGAACUUCUGAGCUCAAGUGAUCCUCCCGCCUUGGCCUCCCAAAGUGCUGAG